RNAcentral lists this long non-coding RNA (214 nucleotides) under Panax ginseng (ginseng). RNAcentral's name for it is "long non-coding RNA (PGIN_LNC014996)". The record is from RNAcentral. Lineage: Eukaryota; Viridiplantae; Streptophyta; Magnoliopsida; Apiales; Araliaceae.
UUUGAGACUCCUGGGAUAAAUUAACCAGAUGCCUCGGCGUACGACAGGUACGCGACCAAUGCCCUUUCAUCCCACACCUAAAACAAACAUCUGGUUUGUUCUUUAUCUAUGUUGCAUUUUCUUUAUUUUUACCCGACCCAGACACUUGCCACUUCUGGUGGCCUGAAUUGUCGCGGUUUCGAAAUUUGUUGUUAUGAUGGCCUCGUUUAUUCUU